CAAUAGCGUAUAUUAAAGUUGUUGCGGUUAAAAAGUUCGUAGUUGGAUUUCUGCCAAGGACGACCGAUCCGCCCUCUGGGUGAGUAUCUGGCUUGGCCUGGGCAUCUUCUUGGAGAACGUUGCUGCACUUCGCUGUGUGGCGCGGUAUCCAGGACCUUUACUUUGAGGAAAUUAGAGUGUUUCAAGCAGGCUUUCGCCUUGAAUACAUUAGCAUGGAAUAAUAAGAUAGGACCUCGGUUCUAUUUUGUUGGUUUCUAGAGCUGGGGUAAUGACUAAUAGGGAUAGUUGGGGGCAUUCGUAUUUAACUGUCGGAGGUGAAAUUCUUGGAUUUGUUAAAGACGGACUACUGCGAAAGCAUUUGCCAAGGAUGUUUUCAUUGA
This 380-nucleotide ribosomal RNA is filed under the name uncultured eukaryote. RNAcentral describes it as "partial 18S ribosomal RNA". It matches the Rfam family "Eukaryotic small subunit ribosomal RNA", at positions 592 to 976 of the family's 1831-position model. The record is from RNAcentral.